RNAcentral lists this unclassified non-coding RNA (1093 nucleotides) under Hevea brasiliensis (rubber tree). The record is from RNAcentral. Lineage: Eukaryota; Viridiplantae; Streptophyta; Magnoliopsida; Malpighiales; Euphorbiaceae.
GUUAAUAGGUGAUACAGGGUGAUUGAAAGGAAACUAGUAGCCUCUCUCUUUGUGUGAAGAGUUGAAUAUAAUCCAGAAUAAAGGUCAUGAAACAAGGUCUCUUAUUUUCCUUUUUUCCAUUUGGCCCAGGAAAUUGUUUCUCAGCUAAUCGGGUAUUAGGAAGAUAGAAGGGAAAGAAGAACUUAUUAAGCUCAAAUUCCAAUCCUAGAAUAGCCGCCAGGCCUUUGCAUUAGACUUUGCUAAUCCUUCUGCAGUUUAAAUAACCAACAAAAUCCAAGUAUAACAGUUUUGAAACUAGAGAAAGACCACAAAAAUAGAUAAAUGAUCUACCAAGCUUAUAUGAAGGGAAAACUAGGGCUUUUUCCCGUGAUGGAAUAUAAACUUCAAUUGGAACCUUCCCCAACAGAAGCUGAUUUUCUGCAAAAGUUAUUCACCUACAAGCUUUAUAUUCAUCACGAAGUCACAAGCUAGUGAUCAUAUAAUAUCUUUAAGCACCACACUAGAAGUCUACUUAUACCAACUCCAUCAAAAUAUGCCCAAGCUCUGAAAUAGUCUAUAGGAGAAACAUUCCCUACUCAGAAAGAUUGCCAGUGAUGAGUGAUGACUAGCAGAAAGAUUGACAGUGAUGACUAUAUCAAAUUUAAACAGACCUUAAAGCCACAACCUCCGGCUUGAAUUAGGGCCAGAAAGGAUGAUGUAAAAUAGGUGUCAAAAAUGAAAUCAAACAUAGGUAACCCAGCCAACCCGCACAAAAUUUUAAAGGUUGGGCUCAAGAUAAUUUGAAAUGGGUUCAAUCCCAACCCAUUCAAGCUUAACCCAUUUGAAGAGAAUUCUCAAUUGAGCCCAAUUCAAUCUCCAAUUUCAACCCGUUUAAAUUUUUUUAUUAAGAUAUGUUCCUGUAUUGAAGGUAUGAAUUAUUAUCUAUUCAACAUCUUUUAGGAAUUAUCUAUCCAUUUGUUACUUUUUUAACAAAAAAAUCUUGAGCAGAAAUUCAAAUUGUGAUUAUAAAAGUUAAAUAAUAAUAAGUUAAAUUAUUGAGAUUUAUCGGGUCAAAUUGGGCGGGUCAAGACCCAACCCAUUUGAGCCCAACCCA